UAUAACCUCCUUGGCUGUUAUAUUUUCUAAAAAUAGGACAAUAAUAUUGUGUCCCAUUAGUUAGUUUUUUCUUUUACCAUUUUAAUUUCAAAAAUAUGCGAAUAAAAAAGCCUAGGGGCUUAACCACGUUCCAGAUCUCGUUGGUGACAUUCUUAGGAAUCUGCUCGGGAUUUUACAUCUGGAAGCCGUACUUGAGCUCUCUGAAAAAUGAAAAAGACGUCAAGGAAGAAACUUGAAUGAACUCCAGUCAUAACUUGUUUAGCAUUUGUGUUUUGUAAUAUCGAUAAAAAUAAAUAGUACUGGCAACUGUUUUCGACAGAAAUCUUACAGACUCUAUAUAAUAAAGUGUUGUAUCUACACUGAUGGACAAAUUAAUGUACCACUAAAUUUAUUUAGUUAAAAACUAAAUCCAUUUCAAUUAACACGGUUAAGUAUGACAUACAUUAGAUUAUUAGAUACAGAUAAUUAGGUAGUCAAAAUAAACAGUAAGUAAUGCUUUGUUUA
This is a long non-coding RNA of Cimex lectularius (bed bug), 504 nucleotides long. RefSeq lists it as uncharacterized. The transcript is spliced from 2 exons. The record is from RefSeq and is a predicted model, not a curated record. NCBI's taxonomy places the organism in Eukaryota, Metazoa, Arthropoda, Insecta, Hemiptera, Cimicidae.